Molecule: ribosomal RNA, 403 nt
Filed under: Fusobacteriota bacterium
Lineage: Bacteria; Fusobacteriati; Fusobacteriota
Description: Fusobacteria bacterium partial 16S ribosomal RNA
Rfam family: Bacterial small subunit ribosomal RNA
Source: RNAcentral
UGGGGAAUAUUGCACAAUGGAGGGAACUCUGAUGCAGCGACGCCGCGUGAGUGAUGAAGGAAUUCGUUUCGUAAAACUCUGUUCUAUGGGAAGAAAAGGACUGUACCAUAGGAGAAAGCUCCGGCUAAAUACGUGCCAGCAGCCGCGGUAAUACGUAUGGAACGAGCGUUGUCCGGAAUUAUUGGGCGUAAAGGGUGCGCAGGCGGCUUUACAAGUUGGAUGUGAAAUAUUGUGGCUCAACCACAAACGUGCAUCCAAAACUGCAAAGCUUGAGUUAAGGAGAGGUAAGUGGAAUUCCUGGUGUAGCGGUGGAAUGCGUAGAUAUCAGGAGGAAUACCGGUGGCGAAGGCGACUUACUGGACUUAAACUGACGCUCAGGCACGAAAGCGUGGGAGCAAACAGG